Non-coding RNA from Gossypium hirsutum (cotton), 132 nucleotides. Lineage: Eukaryota; Viridiplantae; Streptophyta; Magnoliopsida; Malvales; Malvaceae. The record is from Rfam.
UGUUACAAUUUUUAUCUAUUUGUAUUAUUAAAAACCAGUAUGCCUAACGAAAUAACUAGACAGUGAAACAUGACAUGCCACGCUGACACAAUGAUCAGUUUUUAAUGGUAAAAAUGAAUGAAAUUUUUAACA